RNAcentral lists this ribosomal RNA (497 nucleotides) under uncultured bacterium. Its description in RNAcentral is "partial 16S ribosomal RNA". It matches the Rfam family "Bacterial small subunit ribosomal RNA", at positions 28 to 507 of the family's 1533-position model. The record is from RNAcentral.
GAUGAACGCUGGCGGCGUGCCUAAUACAUGCAAGUCGAGCGAACAGACGAGGAGCUUGCUCCUCUGACGUUAGCGGCGGACGGGUGAGUAACACGUGGAUAACCUACCUAUAAGACUGGGAUAACUUCGGGAAACCGGAGCUAAUACCGGAUAAUAUAUUGAACCGCAUGGUUCAAUAGUGAAAGACGGUUUUGCUGUCACUUAUAGAUGGAUCCGCGCCGCAUUAGCUAGUUGGUAAGGUAACGGCUUACCAAGGCAACGAUGCGUAGCCGACCUGAGAGGGUGAUCGGCCACACUGGAACUGAGACACGGUCCAGACUCCUACGGGAGGCAGCAGUAGGGAAUCGUCCGCAAUGGGCGAAAGCUUGACGGAGCAACGCCGCGUGAGUGAUGAAGGUCUUCGGAUCGUAAAACUCUGUUAUUAGGGAAGAACAAAUGUGUAAGUAACUAUGCACGUCUUGACGGUACCUAAUCAGAAAGCCACGGCUAACUACGUG